RNAcentral lists this transfer RNA (72 nucleotides) under Periconia digitata. RNAcentral describes it as "tRNA-Arg". It matches the Rfam family "tRNA". From Rfam's summary of the family: Transfer RNA (tRNA) molecules are approximately 80 nucleotides in length. Lineage: Eukaryota; Fungi; Ascomycota; Dothideomycetes; Pleosporales; Periconiaceae. The record is from RNAcentral.
CGUGCGUUAGUUAAAUAGGUAUAACAAUAUAAUACGGCUAUAUUAUUACAAGUUCGAGUCUUGUGUGCACUU